CUGAGUGAGGGCCCCUGGCCCGACCUCCAACCCUUUGUGAUUAAACCAUGUUGCCUCGGGGUCGCCCGGACCUGACCCGGUCUACGGCGCCCCGGUGGACCACUUCAAAACACUGCAUCAAUGCGUCGGAUAAUACAAGUUUAAUUUGAUUA
Molecule: unclassified non-coding RNA, 152 nt
Filed under: uncultured fungus
Lineage: Eukaryota; Fungi
Description: sequence contains ITS1, 5.8S rRNA gene
Source: RNAcentral